Molecule: ribosomal RNA, 1860 nt
Filed under: Triticum aestivum (bread wheat)
Lineage: Eukaryota; Viridiplantae; Streptophyta; Magnoliopsida; Poales; Poaceae
Description: partial small subunit ribosomal RNA
Source: RNAcentral
AUGGGAGAUCGGGGCGGGGGGAGAUCUGGUGGUUGGCGCGACAACACAGCGCGCGGAGGGUUCGGAGGUGGGCGAAGGGCUCCGCUACCAAAUCAGUCUCGACACAUGGUGUGGCAGCGGCCAGAUCCGCCACCGGCGACGUCGGGAGAUUCGAGAUCUGGUGAUGGUGAAGUUGGAGACAGAUGGGAAGCUGCUGCGCGUGCCAUGAGCGGCGCGACCAAGGAGAAGACGGCGGGCUCCAAGGAGCCGCCUCCGCAUCCUGCACCUGGGCAAGCAACGACCAAGGGCAAUGCCGAGAUCUGCAUCAACUGUUCCCUCCCAGGUCAUUUCACUCCUCGCUGUCCUACUAUUCGCUGUGAAAAAUGCAACAGAUUAGGUCAUAUGGCUCAGCUUUGCCAAGUUCUGAGGCCUUGGGAAUGCAUUCCUCUCAUGUGUGGGUUUCAGUCGCCUGGUCAGGGAUUCUUCUAUAUUCCUGAUAUGUGUGCUGCUAAACAUAGUGCAGAGAAAACUAAUAAUGUGGUGAUUACUAUAGUGGAGGGUGAUGCUACUGUUAAAGACAUUGAGCAGGAAUUUAAUGCUAUAUUUGCCAAAAAACCUGGGAAAAAGAAAUGGCGCUGUACGGCCCGCUCUAUUGGCCCUGCUCAGUAUGUGAUGCGAUUCCCUAAUGCUAGUGAAGUAGAAAGGGCAUGUUGUUAUGGAAAACGCUUGCCUCUGAAGGAAGGGAACAUUGUUGUAUGUAUUACUCCUUGGACUGCUUCUAUUGGAGCCAAAGGCAUUAUGGAGAAAGCAUGGGUUAGGGUUCACAACAUUCCCAUAGAGAAAAGAUGCACUGAACAUAUAGCUUAUGCUGGAGCUCUAGUUGGGAUUACUUUAGAAGUUGAUGAAUCGACCGUUCAUAAACCUGACUAUGCUAGAAUCCUUCUCGGUUGUAGAGAGGUUGAGAAAAUUCCCCCUUCAGCUGAAGGAAUGCUGGGAGAACAGUAUUAUGAUUUUUUCUAUGAAGUUGAAAAAGUUGUGACUGUGGGUGCUGAGAAAAGUCAGUCCUAUACUGCUGUGGAUAGCAGUGCAUCUCCUUCCUUCCCCAAGAAAGCAAGGAUGGACUCAUAUCCUGCUUCUUCCAUGGGGCAGGGGGAGACGAAUACAUCCAUGACUGGUAAUGUUUCCUCUCAGAACUAUGGUAAGGGUAUGCAGAGGCUUCCGGCAGUGGCUGAGAGUGAAGAAGAAGAUGAGAGUGAGGAAGGUAACAACACAGAGCUUCUGAUUGAGACUAUGGCCAGAGAACAUGCGGCUGAAAAAAUGUCUUAUUGUGGAUCUCAAUCUGAUAAAAAAUCAUGUGAGAAUGUCUCUAAGGAUUUGAAAGUGGAAGAGAUGACUGAAUCUCCCAGUAAUGAGAUCAGUGUGCAUCAAGGUGCUUGGGGAAUGAUUACUCCUGUUCCACCCUCACCUCUGUUUAUGUGUCACGAUGUGAAUACUUAUGGGAAUGCUUUUCCUCCCUUGUCAGACUAUGUGGUUUGGCCCUCCCUGCCUCACAUUGUGCCUCUCGAAGAGGGUUUCAUGGAAGGAGGAGAAAACUGCAGUGUCUAUACAGUUGAAUCUCCCUCUGGAUCCCCAAUUCAUGACUGCAUGAGUCAGGGAGAAGAUAUCUCGCGCAGACAGAAGCAGAAGUUGGAGAAGGUGGGAGAUGUGGCCACCAACAGAAUGAAGAAGCGCAAUUUGGAAGGUUUGCUAAAGGAAGAAGAAAGGGCGAAGCUCCAGGCUGGAGUGAAGAGGUUGGCUCACGCGGCUGCUGCGCUGGCGGACAGGUCCCUCCCUCGAGGCAGAUCCCUUUUGGGUGACAGAGAAGGGAUCCAGAUUGGUUAG